AGCGGUGUACUCUACUUUAGAGUACACGUCUGGGGGGCGUGUGGUCGCUGGUUCGAAUCCAGUCACCCCGA
Molecule: transfer RNA, 71 nt
Filed under: Alistipes sp. An54
Lineage: Bacteria; Pseudomonadati; Bacteroidota; Bacteroidia; Bacteroidales; Rikenellaceae
Description: tRNA-Pro
Rfam family: tRNA
About the family: Transfer RNA (tRNA) molecules are approximately 80 nucleotides in length. Their secondary structure includes four short double-helical elements and three loops (D, anti-codon, and T loops). Further hydrogen bonds mediate the characteristic L-shaped molecular structure. tRNAs have two regions of fundamental functional importance: the anti-codon, which is responsible for specific mRNA codon recognition, and the 3' end, to which the tRNAs corresponding amino acid is attached (by aminoacyl-tRNA synthetases). tRNAs cope with the degeneracy of the genetic code in two manners: having more than one tRNA (with a specific anti-codon) for a particular amino acid; and 'wobble' base-pairing, i.e. permitting non-standard base-pairing at the 3rd anti-codon position.
Source: RNAcentral